RNAcentral lists this long non-coding RNA (1189 nucleotides) under Mustela putorius furo (domestic ferret). RNAcentral describes it as "lncRNA (ENSMPUG00000028344.1)". Lineage: Eukaryota; Metazoa; Chordata; Mammalia; Carnivora; Mustelidae. The record is from RNAcentral.
CUCAGGAUGCUUUUCUUUUCUGUCCACUAGGGGGCCGCUUGUAGGGGGAUGGAAAAAACGAAGGCUUAAAAAAAAAUAUAUAUCAUGCUGCUGAAAUUUCAGCAAGAGGGGAAAAGAGAGAGCGCGUGAGAGAGAGACAGCAAAGCAGUCCCAGGCUUCCUUGUCUCUCACGUCAGAGGCAGGAACCUACUGUGCUAGGGUUGUUGGCUCAACACGCAGAGACCGAGAAAGGCACAGACACCGAGAACAAGAGAAGAGGGGUCCCCCCGACCCAAGGAAUUACCACCAGUGGAGUAAAGCCACCUGACUUUUUAAUCUUAUUUUUGUUGCCUCCUCUUUCUCCUUCCACUCUAGCCCUGUCAGCUUGGGUUUCGUUUCUUUCCUGGAGCCUCCUCUCUUCCUCCCAGAAAAGGAGGAAGGGAAGAAAAGGGAGAGAGGUGGGUUCUCUAGGUGAGCGCAUCAGCUGCUUCCAGCCCGCACAGACAAGAAUUCUCUUCGCAGGAAGCUCCUUUCGCUCCCCUGCCGCCCACCCUCAGCCGGUGAGUUAACACUUGCCACACCAACAUCAUGGCGCUGUUGUGAGGAUCCCGUGAGAUGACAUCUUUGAAGGAGCCCCCAGCCUGGUCCCUGACCCAUGGGGGAUGUAUACUUCCGGUUUCACAGCAAGGAACUCAAACAUAUGGGGGAAAAUCACGUGAGAGCUCAUUUCUUUGCAGGGCACAGAUGUUCAAUGAGAAGGAAUCAGUUUUCUUUCCUGCUCUCAAGAGCUGUUGAUUCGUGUUUUACUCCUAAAGCUUAGGAACCCAAAGAAGAAAUCGUUAAUUAUUAAAGGUGUUAGUUAACCCAGGUUUAAAUUUUGUUAUUUCUCUCCUCAUAAUUAUAAGAGGGAAGUGUGGUUUGAGAAGGGGAGGAAGCUCAGCGGUGAGGUCAUUACCAUUCCUUCCUAACCCCAGGAGGGAGCCAGGAAGCGCUGCCAGGAGAGCCUGUCCUUCCGUGGGAGCUAAAGAGAGAAAAGAAGGAGCUGGACCUGCCACGAGGCCAAAGAGGUUCUCACCAGGGGUCCAGGGCUCUGGAGCCUGUGGCUACUGCUCUGUCUGAAAUGGGUUUUCCGUGUUGUUGACUCUCGGUAAAUGGGAAAUAAUAAUUUAUGCUGUGCUAACACUUUCUCAGCAACCCUGCACUACUCGAG